UGAUAGAGGCGCGGGGUACAAAAGUAACUUUCGGAGGGACACCAUCGAGGAAAGCGAAAGGGGAACCGCCGAAGCAGACGAGUGGGUGCACUGUUUUGCUGGGCCGCAGGGAAAUACGUUGCGGACUGUCACCUUCGGGUGGAGAGCUGUC
Molecule: non-coding RNA, 151 nt
Filed under: uncultured Acidaminococcus sp.
Lineage: Bacteria; Bacillati; Bacillota; Negativicutes; Acidaminococcales; Acidaminococcaceae
Description: Lysine riboswitch
Rfam family: Lysine riboswitch aptamer
About the family: Riboswitches are metabolite binding domains within certain messenger RNAs that serve as precision sensors for their corresponding targets.
Source: RNAcentral